GCGGAGGUGGCACAAUGGUACUGCGAAGGCCUGCAGAGCCUUUUUUCGUGGGUUCGAUUCCCACCCUCCGCU
RNAcentral lists this transfer RNA (72 nucleotides) under uncultured archaeon. RNAcentral's name for it is "tRNA-Cys(gca)". It matches the Rfam family "tRNA". Rfam says of the family: Transfer RNA (tRNA) molecules are approximately 80 nucleotides in length. Their secondary structure includes four short double-helical elements and three loops (D, anti-codon, and T loops). The record is from RNAcentral.